GAGAACCGUUACUUGAGAGGUUGAAUCUGGCAGGUUUAGAUGAAAUCCUUUUGGCGUAGAUAUAGUCUUGUUAAACCGCAGCGCCUGCGGGUUCGUUACGCUCACACAGCUCCUAACAGGAGCGGUGCAACUUAGCGAUCGACCAUACCCAUGCCACAAAUGAUAGAGAACGGCGGUAAUAGGAGCGGGGAGGCCAGCGGAAAGUGACUUGAGCUGAGGAUAACAACCAGGCCGGGAACAGAUGACGUGAGCAC
RNAcentral lists this small RNA (254 nucleotides) under Histoplasma capsulatum. RNAcentral describes it as "hypothetical RNA". RNAcentral also lists the same sequence under 1 other name. Lineage: Eukaryota; Fungi; Ascomycota; Eurotiomycetes; Onygenales; Ajellomycetaceae. The record is from RNAcentral.